RNAcentral lists this long non-coding RNA (205 nucleotides) under Rattus norvegicus (Norway rat). Its description in RNAcentral is "long non-coding RNA NONRATT030094". Lineage: Eukaryota; Metazoa; Chordata; Mammalia; Rodentia; Muridae. The record is from RNAcentral.
AAAAGCCAGAUGAGAGCUUUUAGAGACCCUCUACAGGAUGACACUGGAAUGUAUGUUACUGAGGAAGUCACCUCCUCUGAAGAUAAACGAAAGACUUACUCCUUGACAUUUAAACAGGAAUUAAAAGACGUCAUCCUCUGUAUCUCUCCAGUUAUUACAUUCCGUGAACCUUUCCUUUUAACUGAAAAGGGGAUGAGGUGCUCAA